CUGAUGAACCGAUCUGCUUUGCAUAGUUCACACAGAACACAUCGUGUUGACACAACUGCAUCUUUCAAUGUCUUUCGCUCCUAUCUGAUUCUUUUC
Molecule: small nucleolar RNA, 96 nt
Filed under: Dacryopinax primogenitus
Lineage: Eukaryota; Fungi; Basidiomycota; Dacrymycetes; Dacrymycetales; Dacrymycetaceae
Description: Small nucleolar RNA snR60/Z15/Z230/Z193/J17
Rfam family: Small nucleolar RNA snR60/Z15/Z230/Z193/J17
About the family: The members of this family belong to the C/D class of snoRNAs which contain the C (UGAUGA) and D (CUGA) box motifs. Most of the members of the box C/D family function in directing site-specific 2'-O-methylation of substrate RNAs. The family includes the yeast snoRNA snR60 (also known as Z15) and the corresponding human guide snoRNA U80 (SNORD80).
Source: Rfam by way of RNAcentral